Molecule: ribosomal RNA, 421 nt
Filed under: uncultured Sporocytophaga sp.
Lineage: Bacteria; Pseudomonadati; Bacteroidota; Cytophagia; Cytophagales; Cytophagaceae
Description: bacterial SSU rRNA
Rfam family: Bacterial small subunit ribosomal RNA
Source: RNAcentral
UAGGGAAUAUUGGGCAAUGGAGGCAACUCUGACCCAGCCAUGCCGCGUGCAGGAAGAAGGCCUUCUGGGUUGUAAACUGCUUUUGAUCGGGAACAAAAAGACCUUGCGAGGUAAAUUGAGUGUACCGAUAGAAUAAGCACCGGCUAACUCCGUGCCAGCAGCCGCGGUAAUACGGAGGGUGCAAGCGUUGUCCGGAUUUAUUGGGUUUAAAGGGUGCGUAGGCGGUCCUUUAAGUCAGUGGUGAAAGCCAACAGCUCAACUGUUGAACUGCCAUUGAUACUGGAGGACUUGAGUACAGACGAGGUAGGCGGAAUUGACGGUGUAGCGGUGAAAUGCAUAGAUAUCGUCAAGAACACCGAUUGCGAAGGCAGCUUACUAGACUGUAACUGACGCUGAGGCACGAAAGUGUGGGGAUCAAACA